Molecule: ribosomal RNA, 466 nt
Filed under: uncultured bacterium
Lineage: Bacteria
Description: bacterial SSU rRNA
Rfam family: Bacterial small subunit ribosomal RNA
Source: RNAcentral
UCAGGACGAACGCUGGCGGCGUGCUUAACACAUGCAAGUCGAGCGAUGAAACUUCUUCGGAAGUGGAUUAGCGGCGACGGGUGAGUAACACGUGGGUAACCUACCUUAUAGUGGGGAAUAGCCUUUCGAAAGGAAGAUUAAUACCGCAUAAGAUUGUAGUUUCGCAUGAAAUAGCAAUUAAAGGAGCAAUUCGCUAUAAGAUGGACCCGCGGCGCAUUAGCUAGUUGGUGAGGUAACGGCUCACCAAGGCGACGAUGCGUAGCCGACCUGAGAGGGUGAUCGGCCACAUUGGGACUGAGACACGGCCCAGACUCCUACGGGAGGCAGCAGUGGGGAAUAUUGCACAAUGGGGAAACCCUGAUGCAGCAACGCCGCGUGAGUGAUGACGGUCUUCGGAUUGUAAAGCUCUGUCUUUAGGGACGAUAAUGACGGUACCUAAGGAGGAAGCCAUGGCUAACUACGUGCC